GUCUCAGAAUCUGCACAUCAAUGACUGAGAUUCCUGACAGAUGGUGACACUGAACGAACUGGGUGUUUUCACACCUUUUUACCAUAAGAGAAAUUUUUUCUCCAUGGUAACUGCACUGUAUUUGCCUUCUAGCAGUUGAAAUAUGUGACAAAAAUAUUGUAAUUAUAUGUA
Molecule: long non-coding RNA, 171 nt
Organism: Octopus sinensis (East Asian common octopus)
Lineage: Eukaryota; Metazoa; Mollusca; Cephalopoda; Octopoda; Octopodidae
Exons: 3
Source: RefSeq, a predicted model, not a curated record